RNAcentral lists this ribosomal RNA (254 nucleotides) under uncultured bacterium. Its description in RNAcentral is "partial 16S ribosomal RNA". It matches the Rfam family "Bacterial small subunit ribosomal RNA", at positions 524 to 776 of the family's 1533-position model. The record is from RNAcentral.
UACAGAGGGUGCGAGCGUUGUCCGGAAUUAUUGGGCGUAAAGAGCUCGUAGGUGGUUCGGUAAGUCGGAUGUGAAAUCUCCAGGCUCAACCUGGAGGGGUCAUUCGAUACUGCCGUGACUAGAGUUCGGUAGGGGAGUGUGGAAUUCCUGGUGGAGCGGUGAAAUGCGCAGAUAUCAGGAGGAACACCCGUAGCGAAGGCGGCACUCUGGGCCGAUACUGACACUGAGGAGCGAAAGCGUGGGGAGCGAACAGG